UCCCUGGUGGUCUAGUGGUUAAAACUCAGUGCUUUUAUGUCUGCAGCCUGGGUUCAAUCCCUGAUCUGGGAA
RNAcentral lists this transfer RNA (72 nucleotides) under Sus scrofa (pig). It matches the Rfam family "tRNA". From Rfam's summary of the family: Transfer RNA (tRNA) molecules are approximately 80 nucleotides in length. Their secondary structure includes four short double-helical elements and three loops (D, anti-codon, and T loops). The record is from Rfam by way of RNAcentral. Lineage: Eukaryota; Metazoa; Chordata; Mammalia; Artiodactyla; Suidae.